This 440-nucleotide ribosomal RNA is filed under the name uncultured bacterium. Its description in RNAcentral is "partial 16S ribosomal RNA". It matches the Rfam family "Bacterial small subunit ribosomal RNA", at positions 338 to 795 of the family's 1533-position model. The record is from RNAcentral.
CCUACGGGAGGCUGCAGUGGGGGAUAUUGCACAAUGGGGGAAACCCUGAUGCAGCGACGCCGCGUGUGGGAAGACGGUCCUCUGGAUUGUAAACCACUGUCCCCAGGGACGAAGAUGACGGUACCGGGGGAGGAAGCGCCGGCGAACUAUGUGCCAGCAGCCGCGGUAAUACGGCGGGAGCGAGCGUGGUCCGGAAUUACUGGGUGUAAAGGGAGCGUAGGAGGGGAUGCAAGGUGGGUGUCAAAACUACCGGCUCAACUGGUAGUCGCACUCAAAACUGCAGCUCUUGAGUGAAGUAGAGGCAGGCGGAAUUCCUAGUGUAGCGGUGAACUGCGUAGAUAUUAGGAGGAACCCCAGUGGCGACGGCGGCCUGCUGGGCUUUUCCUGCCGCUGAGGCUCGACAGUGUGGGGAGUAAACAGGAUUAGCUACCCCAGUAGUC